RNAcentral lists this unclassified non-coding RNA (406 nucleotides) under soil metagenome. Its description in RNAcentral is "partial contains 5.8S ribosomal RNA, internal transcribed spacer 2, and large subunit ribosomal RNA". The stretch from base 1 to 121 matches the Rfam family "5.8S ribosomal RNA", at positions 35 to 154 of the family's 154-position model. The record is from RNAcentral.
GAUGAAGAACGCAGCGAAAUGCGAUAAGUAAUGUGAAUUGCAGAAUUCAGUGAAUCAUCGAAUCUUUGAACGCACCUUGCGCCCUUUGGCCAUUCCGAAGGGCAUGCCUGUUUGAGUAUCAUGAACACCUCAACUCUUCAUGGUUUUCCGUGAUGAGCUUGGACUUUGGGGGUCUUGCUGGCCUAUGGUCAGCUCCUCUAAAAUAAAUCAACUUGCCAGUGUUUGGUGGGUAUCACAGGUGUGAUAACUAUCUACGCUUGUGGUUUUCCACCAGGUAACCUUCAGCAGUGGAGGUUCGCUGGAGCUCACAGAUGUGUCUCUCCUCAGUGAGGACAGCUCUUUGAAUGUUUGAUCUCAAAUCAGGUAGGACUACCCGCUGAACUUAAGCAUAUCAAUAAGCGGAGGA